Molecule: ribosomal RNA, 507 nt
Filed under: uncultured bacterium
Lineage: Bacteria
Description: partial 16S ribosomal RNA
Rfam family: Bacterial small subunit ribosomal RNA
Source: RNAcentral
GACGAACGCUGGCGGCGUGCCUAAUACAUGCAAGUCGAACGCAUUUUCUUUCACCGUAGCUUGCUACACCGAAAGAAAAUGAGUGGCGAACGGGUGAGUAACACGUGGGUAACCUGCCCAUCAGCGGGGGAUAACACUUGGAAACAGGUGCUAAUACCGCAUAAUUCCAUUUACCGCAUGGUAGAUGGAUGAAAGGCGCUUUUGCGUCACUGAUGGAUGGACCCGCGGUGCAUUAGCUAGUUGGUGGGGUAACGGCCUACCAAGGCUGCGAUGCAUAGCCGACCUGAGAGGGUGAUCGGCCACACUGGGACUGAGACACGGCCCAGACUCCUACGGGAGGCAGCAGUAGGGAAUCUUCGGCAAUGGACACAAGUCUGACCGAGCAACGCCGCGUGAGGGAAGAAGGUUUUCGGAUCGUAAAACUCUGUUGUUAGAGAAGAACAAGGAUGAGAGUGGAAAGUUCAUCCCUUGACGGUAGCUAACCAGAAAGCCACGGCUAACUACGUG